GCUCAAAUAGCUCAGUUGGUAGAGCAUGAUCCUCUUAAUCUUAAGAUUGUGAGUGCAAGCCCCACAUUGGACA
This is a non-coding RNA of Podarcis lilfordi (Lilford's wall lizard), 73 nucleotides long. The record is from the annotation of a GenBank genome assembly. Lineage: Eukaryota; Metazoa; Chordata; Lepidosauria; Squamata; Lacertidae.